RNAcentral lists this long non-coding RNA (5482 nucleotides) under Sus scrofa (pig). RNAcentral describes it as "lncRNA (ENSSSCG00000052234.1)". Lineage: Eukaryota; Metazoa; Chordata; Mammalia; Artiodactyla; Suidae. The record is from RNAcentral.
UGGCUCACAGGUUCAAUCACCAGCCUGGCACAGUGGAUUAAGGAUCUGGUAUUGUGGCAGCUGCAGCUUAGGUCAUGACUGUGGCUUGGAUCUGAUCCCUGGCUCCAUAUGCCAGAGGGCAGCCAAAAUGAAAAAAAAAAAAAAAUUGUUUUGAAUUAUAGACGGCUUCCUUUUAAAAUGCAUUUCUGGAGUUCCCAUCAUGGCUCAGCAGAAACAAAUCUGACUAGCAUCCAUGAGGACACAGGUUUGAUCCCCGGCCUCACUCAGUGGGUUAAAGAUCCAGCAUUGCCGUGAGCUGUGGUGUUGGUUGCAGAUGCAACUCAGAUCUUGUAUUGCUGUGGGUGUGGCAUAGGCCAGCAGCAGCAGCUCCAAUUCGACCCCUAGCCUGGGAAUUUCCAUAUACUGCGGGUGCAGCCCUAAAAAAAAACAACAACAAAAAAGAAAUGCAUUUCUUUGACAAGAACCUUGAGUCAUAUGAUAAAAGUCAGAGAUUCAGGUCAAAACAACAGGCUAUUAUAAACUAGCUGUCCAGAGGAUGUCUACAGAAGCAGGCAUUUCCCACCACAAUAUCCAGUGGCUAGUUGAAAAGGUUAACAUCCUUUUAUUCUUUUUUUAAUUUUUUUUAAUUUUUUGCUUUUUAUUUUAGGGCCACACCAGCAGCAUAAGAAAGUUUCCAGGCUAGGAGACUAAUCAUAGCUACAGCUGCUGGGCUAGGCCAUAGCCAUAGCAACUUAGGAUCCUAGCCUCAUCUGCAACCUACAACAUAGCUCAAAGUUACACCAGAUGUUUUAACCUACUGAGCGAGGUCAGGGAUCAAACCUCACGGAUACUAGUCAUGUUUGUUACCACUGAGCCACAUCCUUUUAAACUCACUAGUAAACUAUUGACUACAGGGGAAAAAAACCAACAACAACAGAAUUUACCAAUAAAAUCAAUCUCAGCUUUAAAAAAUGAUUUAAUGCUGUGUAUUAGGAGGAAACUGUACUAGUGAUUUUAAAAUAUUUAGCUAACAGAUUGUUUAUCUUCAAUCACAGAUCUGUAUCUGCUGUUUAGCUCAUGGAAACUAAAAAUAUUCACUUAUUUGGCACAUUCUUCUGGUGAAAUUAUUGGCAGAAAUUUCAAAUUAGGUAGAAAUCUUAUGUUUAAGAAUGCAAAGGUGGUUUUUUUUUUUUUCUUGGUUUUAUGUUUUUCUAUUCUUUGUUUCUUCAUUAAAGGAAGUUUAUAAGGAUAUGGGAAAAGUAUAAGUAUCGAGAAUAGAGGAAGACUAAUAACUAUCUCAUUAAUGAGUCAUUUGAUGAACCUGUAUAUAUAUAUUUUUCAUUUUAAGGAGCAGGUCCAAACCAAGGGCUCUUUCACUCUUUAUGCUAUUUUUUAAUUAGCCCUUUCACUACUGCAUCCUCAUAUGAAAUCAAGAAAAUGAAAAUUACAAAAAGACAUGAUUUUUGCCAGUGACUUCCUUAUCUCUGUGGCAAAUGGGAGCCCACACAUAAGUGAUCAGUAAGCUAGUUUCCAAGCAUACUUUCUUUAAGAGAAAGACGAAUUCUAGCCACCACCUAAACAAGCCACCUCCUUCACAACCAGCCACAGAUAACUAGGACCUUGAUGAUGAGGGGUAGAAACAGCACACUGGCAUCAGACAUCUCCCUUGGCAGAAUUUCCUCACUGCUGAACUCCCAAGGAAUGGCUUCAGGGGGCUGCUGAGAAUCUUUGGGUGCCUCAGCCACCUAGGGAUUAUCUCUAGCAAACCUGGAAGAUGGAUUUGAUAUCUGCUGCUCCCUGAACAACCAACUUUCUAUCCUUCAGUUUACACAUUGUGUUGUCACAUCCUCCUCCCUGUAUCCAUGCUGGCACUGGUAACACAGUACUCUUUAGAAACGUGUUAAGUUUAUUGUUCCCAGGGCUUUACAGUAUUCCAUUUACUCUAAGCAUCUAAGCAUUGUCAUCCUUUAAAAAUAGCAGCUGUCACCCUACUCGUGGCCCCUCCUUGAGAAUCCCUUGUCUCUACCAUGGGGACUGCUGUGGAAAAGUCAGGCUUUCUUAGAAGAUAUGUAUAUUUAGAUUUAGAAAACUAGAAAGCAUUGUGGAAAAUAAAAUAGAAUCAGGAAGUUGACCUGAUCUUACUUAAAUUGGUUUCUUCACUACAGAAUUUCUCAGAGCCUUUAACAAUUAGUAUGUAAAACUGUUGUAAAAAGGGCCGAGGGAGGAUCUGUUCUCAGUGAGUUGCUAUGCUCUCCUGACAUUUCCCUGCCAAAAGUUCUGUCACCUUAUGUAGACUUUUCAUUGUUUCAUUGCUGAACAUAAACACCUCACCCCUGUCCUCCCUUACAGUUUAUUUAGGACACAAGUAUCCUUUUUUUAAAACUCAAAUAUGUUUAGAGGGUAAGGAUAUUGAUUACUAGUGUUUUAUAUCUUAACGUGGUUUAGUUUGAGAAGGUUGCUUUCCCCCUAGCAUCUAAUUACACUAAAUUACACUGCUGUUGAUUUAGAAGGAAAAGAGGGCUAUGUCUUUAGAGCAUGUGCAAUUGAACACAUACAUUUCUGUGUGUAAGGAGUUGGGGGGGUGGAUAAUGGAUAACUGGAAAUGUGGGGAGAACUAUGUGUGUGGUUUUAUUGUACUGGGCCUGAUUAGGUUGGGUCAGAGUUUGUGAAAGAAGUAAUAAUAAAGUCGGUAUAAAAGCUAAUGAUGCCUGUUUCACAGAUAGGUGUAUUUUCCACAAAUACAUCCAUCUUUCUGCUAUACAGCAAACAUUCCUCCUCUCAAAAUUGUAGCUUCUUAAAUUUUGGACCUUAGAAUUCAAACUUUGGCUACCUUUGGAUUAAAUAUGAUAAAGGGCUUUAUCUGAGGCGCUAUCUUCCAUUUUUUUAAACUAUUUUUAUAACAAAGAUUUUCUCCAAGUUUCAAAACGUGUACUUAUAGAUGCACUUUUUAAAUAUAGCCUAUUGUGAUGUGUAGUUUACUUAAAGUUUUUCCACUCAAAGGAUUAUUUUUCUUAAAGUAAAUUAACAAAUCUAUCCUCCUAAGUGUGGGAAUAUAAUUACUAGUGAUAGAAAUAUGUGUGUUUUGGAGAUUUAUAUUAUCACUUUUCAUUUGGAGAGCUCAAGUUAUUGCCAAAGUUCAAAUGACAUGCAGCUCCAGAAAUAUUUAGUAUCUUGUCCAAAGAGAGACAAGAUUAUAUAAUGAUACACUGUCUUAAGUAAAAACAAACCAAACUAAAAACUUCAUCAUAGACAGUUAUAAUGUUGAAAAUCAGAACUGUCUCUCUUAAAGGGCAACCCUAUCUCCAAAAAGAAUAAAAUGAAUGUUUCUUGAUAGAAAGACUGUAUUAACUACAUUUUCUAUAUUCUUGAUGCUCUGGCAUCCAUGGCCUUGCUAACCAGGGAAGACUGCCCUUCCUAGGACUAGUUAAUCACCUGAGAUAGCAAAUGAACCCCCUACAAGCACCACUUUCAUAUACAAACCAACAAGUUCAGAGCCCAUACCCCCCCCCCAAACACACACACUCUUCCUCUAUUGGGCUUUUACAAUCUGGAUCAAUAUCAAAGUGCCAGUUACCAGACAAUGUCAGAGAGCUUCUGCACCCCAGAGACUGCUGAAAUUAUUCUAACGAGCCAAUCCUAAGCCUACUUACCAUGCCUUAUUCAUUUUUCCCCUUGGAAACCUCAAUAAAAGCCCUUGCCAGUACUUCCCCUUGCUUCCUCUGCCUCCUGAUCAACCCUGGUGCUUCUCCAUGUGGCCCUGCCUGGUGUGUUAUACCCUCUCUUUUGGGGAUAUCUGAUUAAUAAUAAAAUCUACAUUUUAAAACAAAGACUUUAAGCUAAUGCCGGUGGGUUGUUUAAUUUCCAAUUUAGCAUGCUUAGAAAUAACAGAACAUGAGGUCUUCUUCUGUAGAUGAUGGUCAAAUUAACCCCUAUGUAGUAUGGUAUGAAAAUUUAGAUCUUCUGCUAGUUUAGCUCUCACUGUCUAUGAGGUCUGAUCUUCAAUGUCCUUAUUUGUAAACUGAGAAAUUUGAACCAGAUAAUCUCUAUAAAUUCCUCUAGAUAUGUUAUAUAAUUUCUUGGUGUUUCCACUAAUAAAUUUUUAUUAACAAAAUUUCCUUAGUAUAAUUCCCCCAGUCUAAACAUCAUUGGAAUAUUAUUUUGUCUAUUGCCUUCUCACCACCAGAUGUGAGUUCCCUUAUGACAGGUACUUGUGUAAGUAAUUCUUCUGUUCCUGGCACCUAUCAUGGCAUUAAAUCCAACAGUAGGAGCUCAGUAACUACUAAAACAAACACAAUAAUUGACUGACUCAAAGUACAGUGAGCUUCAUGUUGGGUGGCAAUAGCCAUGAAAACAAGCUUAAGAAAACUGACAUUUUUAAUGGUAAGCUUGAAUAAGGAGAUGCUACACUGAAACAAUCCAACUUUUUCCUACUAAUAAAUAAAUUGGUUAUUUGUAAAAUGAAAGAAUUGAUCACUAGAAAUAUUCUUAGGAGAAGACGAAAACUUUUUAGGAAUUUUUACUUCCAGUUGCUUUAGAUUUCUUUCUCCCUCUUUUUUUUUUUUUUUCCAAAAUGACUGGUUAUUGAUUUGGUUAUUGGUUUGAAGUAUUAUUUGAGAGCUGUUUUAAAUUUUUUUUCUAUCCACUAAAAAGCAACAAUGGGCAUUUUUAAUUUUAUAGAAAAAUGAAAAAAAAAUAUUAAUCUGCAGCCAUGCCAAAAAGGCAAACAAAAAGAGCAGCUUUUAAUUAAAUCUAAGGGCUAGAAGUCUUGGUACAGUUUUUUCAUUUUCCUCUUUAUUCCUCUCCCAGCCAGUAGCUGAGUGUUGCAUUGUAACUGCUCCUCAUCUGAUUUCCAUUUUUCUCUCUGCAGAAAGAAGAAUAUUAAAAGUCACAAUAGUAUACAUUUUAGAAGAAAUUUUUAAUUACUAAUUCAUAAGAAGUAAUAUUCAUGCACCAUGUUACAUGACCUAAAUUAAAACACUAAGUUGAAUUUGCUCUGUGGGAUGUUAAUACCAAGUAAUAUAGGUAAAGGAAUAUGUGGAUGUUUUCCAUGUCCUGUAAAAGAAAAUUCUGUCUUUCAACAUCAGCAUCUGAAUAUAUUUCAGCACCUGAAUUAAGGGGCCAUCUGUGAUUUUUAUUUGGGGGAGAACUAUAUUCUAGAAAUGAGAUCUAAGUAAUUGAAUUCACUCUCAGAUUGUUCCUCUUCCUUGACACAAAGGUCGGGAGGGUACUUCAAAUCUCUCUUUCCUGGAAAGACUCUGCUCCUAGUUUAUCAUUUGGAAUUUAGAAACACAAGUUAAAAGUGACUAGAAAAAUAACUUGGUCAAAAUUGAGUCUGGAUUACACUGUGGUUCCCUUUGUGUAAUUGCUUUGAUCUCUGAGUCCUCUAGUCAUUAGAUUCUAUUUAGUAAUUUUAAUAAGAAAGACAGUUAGGAAAAUGGGAGGAGAUCAAUAGCCAGCCCAGCUUUAUCAGCACACCAUUAGAAAAUUGGAAAAUUAGAAAUUC